RNAcentral lists this small nuclear RNA (107 nucleotides) under Erinaceus europaeus (western European hedgehog). The record is from RNAcentral. Lineage: Eukaryota; Metazoa; Chordata; Mammalia; Eulipotyphla; Erinaceidae.
GUGCUCUCUUUGGCAGCACACACACUAAAAUUGGAACAACACAGAGAAGAUUAGCAUGGCCUCUGCGCAGGGAUGACAAGCAAAUUUGUGAAGCGUUCCAUAUUUUC